CACUGUAUGAUCAAUAGGGUUGGGUAUCGAGUAUCGAGUAUCGAUUGGAACCGGGACUAACUUUUCGAUUUUCCCGGAAUCGUUCAAAAGUUUAAAUUUCGAUUCCUAGUUUCGAUAUUCACAGUCCGCCGACCGGAAGAAGAAACUGCUGAACACCAACGAAGAAGCGUCCACCGGAAGUGUUGGCAUAACCGCGUGAAUCGAACAUGAAUAGCUUGCGUCGGCGGUCCAAAGUGUGGCUUCACUUUUCUAAAAAUAACGAAAUCUCGGCAAAAUGUAACAUUUGUGACAAGAAUAGUAUUUCCCUCAGAAAGACCGUUGGUUAGCUAAACUUUUUUGACCCUGCCUCUUAAAAGAAUCGGAAUUGAGAAUCGUUAGGAACCGGAAUCGAAACAAGGAAUCGGAAUCGGAAUUGGAAUCGUUCAAAUUCAAACGAUACCCAACCCUAAUGAUCAAUA
Molecule: long non-coding RNA, 458 nt
Organism: Rhinichthys klamathensis goyatoka
Lineage: Eukaryota; Metazoa; Chordata; Actinopteri; Cypriniformes; Leuciscidae
Exons: 2
Source: RefSeq, a predicted model, not a curated record